This 253-nucleotide ribosomal RNA is filed under the name uncultured bacterium. Its description in RNAcentral is "partial 16S ribosomal RNA". It matches the Rfam family "Bacterial small subunit ribosomal RNA", at positions 524 to 776 of the family's 1533-position model. The record is from RNAcentral.
UACGAAGGGGGCUAGCGUUGCUCGGAAUCACUGGGCGUAAAGCGCACGUAGGCGGAUCUUUAAGUCGGGGGUGAAAUCCCGGAGCUCAACUCCGGAACUGCCUUCGAUACUGAGGAUCUUGAGUCCGGGAGAGGUGAGUGGAACUGCGAGUGUAGAGGUGAAAUUCGUAGAUAUUCGCAAGAACACCAGUGGCGAAGGCGGCUCACUGGCCCGGUACUGACGCUGAGGUGCGAAAGCGUGGGGAGCAAACAGG